UGGGGAAUAUUGCACAAUGGGGGAAACCCUGAUGCAGCGACGCCGCGUGAGCGAAGAAGUAUUUCGGUAUGUAAAGCUCUAUCAGCAGGGAAGAAAAUGACGGUACCUGACUAAGAAGCCCCGGCUAACUACGUGCCAGCAGCCGCGGUAAUACGUAGGGGGCAAGCGUUAUCCGGAUUUACUGGGUGUAAAGGGAGCGUAGACGGAUGAGCAAGUCUGAUGUGAAAGGUGGGGGCUCAACUCCCAAACUGCAUUGGAAACUGUUCAUCUUGAGUGCCGGAGAGGUAAGCGGAAUUCCUAGUGUAGCGGUGAAAUGCGUAGAUAUUAGGAGGAACACCAGUGGCGAAGGCGGCUUACUGGACGGUAACUGACGUUGAGGCUCGAAAGCGUGGGGAGCAAACAGG
This 404-nucleotide ribosomal RNA is filed under the name uncultured bacterium. RNAcentral describes it as "bacterial SSU rRNA". It matches the Rfam family "Bacterial small subunit ribosomal RNA", at positions 355 to 776 of the family's 1533-position model. The record is from RNAcentral.